UAAGACCUCGCGUUAUUGGAGCGGCCGAUAUCUGAUUAGCUAGUUGGUGGGGUAAGGGCCUACCAAGGCGACGAUCAGUAGCUGGUCUGAGAGGACGACCAGCCACACUGGGACUGAGACACGGCCCAGACUCCUACGGGAGGCAGCAGUGGGGAAUUUUGGACAAUGGGCGAAAGCCUGAUCCAGCCAUGCCGCGUGAGUGAAGAAGGCCUUCGGGUUGUAAAGCUCUUUCGCAAGGAAAGAAAUCCUAUCCACUAAUACUGGGUGGGGAUGACGGUACCUUGAUAAGAAGCACCGGCUAACUACGUGCCAGCAGCCGCGGUAAUACGUAGGGUGCGAGCGUUAAUCGGAAUUACUGGGCGUAAAGCGAGCGCAGGCGGUUUUGUAAGUCAGAUGUGAAAUCCCCGGGCUCAACCUGGGAACU
This 424-nucleotide ribosomal RNA is filed under the name uncultured bacterium. RNAcentral describes it as "bacterial SSU rRNA". It matches the Rfam family "Bacterial small subunit ribosomal RNA", at positions 202 to 622 of the family's 1533-position model. The record is from RNAcentral.